Long non-coding RNA from Alnus glutinosa, 909 nucleotides. RefSeq lists it as uncharacterized. The record is from RefSeq and is a predicted model, not a curated record. The transcript is spliced from 3 exons. Lineage: Eukaryota; Viridiplantae; Streptophyta; Magnoliopsida; Fagales; Betulaceae.
GAAAAUCUGACGCACCUCUCUUCUCAUCUUUCCAUUUCUUCUUUCUUCAUUUCUUCUUCUGUUUUUCUUCUCGCCAGACCCACCGAGAGAGAGAGUGACAUCGAGAGAUUGAGAGGAGAGAAACAGAGAAAGACAGAGAUGAGACCGAGAGAUCGGGAGAGGGAGAGUCAGAGAUCGGGAGAGAGGGAGCUGAACCCGGAACCUAGAGGACCCGAUCCUCUGUGGACGGUGGCCAGAACCAAAAUCCGGCGGUUCCAGUGGCGAUUCCGGCGAGGCCGUGACCCGCAACCCGCUAGACCCGAGAGAGAGAACCCGUGAACCGUUUGUGUGAAACCCGAACGACCCACCGAACCAGAGACGAUCUGGCAGCCUGAGAUGCAAUUUCCGGCGGGCCAGGUGUUGUUCCGGCCGAACCUCGAAGACCCAUGACCCAGAACCCGUGAACCGCGACCCGCUGAACCCGAUAGGAGACCCGGUUCUCUAUGGGUGUUUUCCGGCGAAUCUCCGGCGACUACCAGUGGCGUUUUCCGGUGGAUUUGUUGAGGAAAAUCCCUAAGAUGAUGAAUUGUGACUGCACAAAAGGGCUAUGUUUGCGCAGGUUCUGAAGAUUAUGGAAUGGAUUAAAUGCUAGCUUAAGAGAUUUAAAGCUAUUGUAGUUAGGAUUUUAGUGCUUGGUACUUGUAAAUGUUUGUAUUGUUCUGUAUGUAACAUGUUUAUGAAUUUACUUGUAUGUAGUAAGUUUCCAUGUAUGCUUUCGUGUCAUGUGUGACACAUGUUUCUUUGUAAUUAGUGUGAAAGACUUUUAAUGUAUUUCUAGUGGAUGUCAAUUAAAGCUCUAAAUGUAUUGUAAGGGAGUUGUCCCUGAUGGUUGUAAAGAAAAAAAAAAGAUAUUCGUAUUUUUUGCUGCCA